This 560-nucleotide unclassified non-coding RNA is filed under the name Hevea brasiliensis (rubber tree). Lineage: Eukaryota; Viridiplantae; Streptophyta; Magnoliopsida; Malpighiales; Euphorbiaceae. The record is from RNAcentral.
GUUUAGGCUUUCCCCCGGAAACCUACUCGCCUGUUCUCCGAUUAUACUCGAUGGGAACCGAGCGGAAGAGGAAGGUGAGCUUGUUCGAUGUGGUGGAUGACUCGGCAGCGAAGAAACUCAAUGGAGGCUUAAAUGGUGGAAACAGCAUGACGGCUUCGAUCAACAAGUGGAAUGCAAAGCCUUACUCACAGAGAUUUUAUGACAUUUUGGAGAAGAGGAAGACUCUUCCGGUUUGGCAUCAAAAGGAGGAGUUCUUACAGGCAUUAAAAUCCAAUCAAACUCUUAUCUUGGUCGGUGAAACCGGUAGUGGUAAAACAACUCAGAUUCCACAGUUUGUUUUGGAUGCUGUUGAAGUAGAGACAGCUGAUAAGCGCAGGAAAUAUAUGAUUGGUUGCACUCAACCUCGGAGGGUGGCUGCAAUGUCUGUCUCUCGUCGUGUUGCUGAAGAGAUGGAUGUUGUAAUUGGGGAAGAAGUUGGAUAUAGCAUUCGUUUUGAGGACUGCACUAGUGCUAGAACUGUUUUAAAAUACUUAACAGAUGGUAUGCUUUUAAGAGAAGCA